Molecule: ribosomal RNA, 427 nt
Filed under: uncultured bacterium
Lineage: Bacteria
Description: bacterial SSU rRNA
Rfam family: Bacterial small subunit ribosomal RNA
Source: RNAcentral
GUAGGGAAUAUUGGGCAAUGGAGGCAACUCUGACCCAGCAACACCGCGUGAAUGAUGAAGGUUUUCGGAUUGUAAAGUUCUGUGAUGGGGGACGAACAAAUGACGGUACCCCAAUAGCAAGCCACGGCUAACUACGUGCCAGCAGCCGCGGUAAUACGUAGGUGGCAAGCGUUGUCCGGAAUGACUGGGCGUAAAGGGUGCGUAGGUGGCUAUUCAAGUUAGCGGUGAAAUCCCGGGGCUCAACUCCGGUGCUACCACUAAUACUGUUUAGCUUGAGUACGGGAGAGGUAACUGGAAUUCCUAGUGUAGCGGUGGAAUGCGUAGAUAUUAGGAAGAACACCAGAGGCGAAGGCGAGUUACUGGACCGCAACUGACACUGAGGCACGAAAGCGUGGGGAGCAAACAGGAUUAGAUACCCUAGUAGUCC